Molecule: ribosomal RNA, 253 nt
Filed under: uncultured bacterium
Lineage: Bacteria
Description: partial 16S ribosomal RNA
Rfam family: Bacterial small subunit ribosomal RNA
Source: RNAcentral
UACGUAGGGGGCAAGCGUUGUCCGGAAUCAUUGGGCGUAAAGCGCGCGUAGGCGGCCCGGUAAGUCCGUUGUAAAAGUCAAAGGCUCAACCUUUGAAAGCCGAUGGAUACUGCCGGGCUAGAAUCCGGAAGAGGCGAGUGGAAUUCCUGGUGUAGCGGUGAAAUGCGCAGAUAUCAGGAGGAACACCAAUGGCGAAGGCAGCUCGCUGGGACGGUACUGACGCUGAGACGCGAAAGCGUUGGGAGCAAACAGG